Molecule: ribosomal RNA, 246 nt
Filed under: uncultured bacterium
Lineage: Bacteria
Description: partial 16S ribosomal RNA
Rfam family: Bacterial small subunit ribosomal RNA
Source: RNAcentral
AUACGUAGGGAGCAAGCGUUGUCCGGAAUUACUGGGCGUAAAGGGCGCGUAGGUGGAUGUUUAAGUCAGAUGUGAAAACUCCGGGCUCAACUUGGAGAUUGCAUUUGAAACUGGGCAUCUUGAGGGUAGGAGAGGAAAGUGGAAUUCCUAGUGUAGCGGUGAAAUGCGUGGAUAUUAGGGGAACACCAGUGGCGAAGGCGACUUUCUGGACUAUACCUGACACUGAGGCGCGAAAGCGUGGGGAGC